This 1418-nucleotide unclassified non-coding RNA is filed under the name uncultured Pleosporales. Its description in RNAcentral is "sequence contains 18S rRNA gene, ITS1, 5.8S rRNA gene, ITS2, 28S rRNA gene". The stretch from base 477 to 1418 matches the Rfam family "Eukaryotic large subunit ribosomal RNA", at positions 1 to 961 of the family's 3401-position model. The record is from RNAcentral. Lineage: Eukaryota; Fungi; Ascomycota; Dothideomycetes; Pleosporales.
GGAAGGAUCAUUACUGAGGGGCUUCGGCUCCAUCAAGAUACCACCCCUUGCAUUUCGAGCACCUUCUGUUUCCUCGGCGGGCGACAUGCCCGCCAACGGGGACUCCACCAAACUCUUUUGUAGUUGCAGUAAACGUCUCAAAAACAAAUAAAUCAAAACUUUCAACAACGGAUCUCUUGGUUCUGGCAUCGAUGAAGAACGCAGCGAAAUGCGAUAAGUAGUGUGAAUUGCAGAAUUCAGUGAAUCAUCGAAUCUUUGAACGCACAUUGCGCCCUUUGGUAUUCCUUAGGGCAUGCCUGUUCGAGCGUCAUUUAAACCCUCAAGCACUGCUUGGUGUUGGGCGCUUGUCCCCCCCCCCUCGGGGCGGCGGACUCGCCUCAAAAGCAUUGGCGGCCUUUGUCUUGGGCUUCGAGCGCAGCAGACUCGCGCCUCGCGAUCCUCCGGCAAGGGCGUCCAACAAGACGCAUCUCCAAGUUUGACCUCGGAUCAGGUAGGGAUACCCGCUGAACUUAAGCAUAUCAAUAAGCGGAGGAAAAGAAACCAACAGGGAUUGCCUCAGUAACGGCGAGUGAAGCGGCAAGAGCUCAAAUUUGAAAUCUGGCUCUUUCAGAGUCCGAGUUGUAAUUUGUAGAGGGCGCUUUGGCGUCGGCUACGGCCUAAGUUCCUUGGAACAGGACGUCACAGAGGGUGAGAACCCCGUACGUGGCCGCUAGCCUUCGCCGUGUAAAGCCCCUUCGACGAGUCGAGUUGUUUGGGAAUGCAGCUCUAAAUGGGAGGUAAAUUUCUUCUAAAGCUAAAUACUGGCCAGAGACCGAUAGCGCACAAGUAGAGUGAUCGAAAGAUGAAAAGCACUUUGGAAAGAGAGUCAAAAAGCACGUGAAAUUGUUGAAAGGGAAGCGCUUGCAGCCAGACUUGCUCGUAGUUGCUCAUCCGAGCUCCCGCUCGGUGCACUCUUCUGCGGGCAGGCCAGCAUCAGUCCGGGCGGUCGGAUAAAGGCUCUGGGAAUGUAGCUCCCCUCGGGGAGUGUUAUAGCCCAGGGUGUCAUGCGACCAGCCUGGACUGAGGUCCGCGCAUCUGCUAGGAUGCUGGCGUAAUGGCUGUAAGCGGCCCGUCUUGAAACACGGACCAAGGAGUCUAACAUCUAUGCGAGUGUUUGGGUGUCAAGCCCGGGCGCGCAAUGAAAGUGAACGGAGGUGGGAACCCCUCGGGGCGCACCAUCGACCGAUCCUGAUGUCUUCGGAUGGAUUUGAGUAAGAGCAUAGCUGUUGGGACCCGAAAGAUGGUGAACUAUGCCUGAAUAGGGUGAAGCCAGAGGAAACUCUGGUGGAGGCUCGCAGCGGUUCUGACGUGCAAAUCGAUCGUCAAAUUUGGGCAUAGGGGCGAAAGACUAAUCGAACUAUCUAGUAGCUGGUUCCUGC